Molecule: ribosomal RNA, 443 nt
Filed under: uncultured bacterium
Lineage: Bacteria
Description: partial 16S ribosomal RNA
Rfam family: Bacterial small subunit ribosomal RNA
Source: RNAcentral
CCUACGGGAGGCAGCAGUGGGGAAUAGUGGGCAAUGGGCGCAAGCCGGACCCAGCAACGCCGCGGGAAGGAAGAAGGCUUUCGGGUGGUAAACGUCUGUUCUCAGGGACGAAGCAAGUGACGGGACCGGAGGAAUAAGCCACGGCUAACUACGUGCCAGCAGCCGCGGUAAUAAGUAGGGGGCAAGAGUUAUCCGGAUUUACUGGGUGUAAAGGGCGUGUAGGCGGGACUGCAAGUCAGAUGGGAAAACCACGGGCUCAACCUGUGGCCUGCAUUUGAAACUGUCGUUCUUGAGUACUGGCUAGGCAGCCGGUAUUCCUCUUGUAGCGGUGCACUGCGUCGAUCUUCGGAGGUACCCCAGUGGCGCAGGCGGUCUGCUGGACAGCACCUGCCGCUGAGGCGCGAACGUGUGGGUAUCAAACCGGAUUAGCUACCCCUGUAGUC